Mya arenaria is the source of this 5357-nucleotide long non-coding RNA. RefSeq lists it as uncharacterized. NCBI's taxonomy places the organism in Eukaryota, Metazoa, Mollusca, Bivalvia, Myida, Myidae. The transcript has 7 exons. The record is from RefSeq and is a predicted model, not a curated record.
UUUUGCUUGUAUUUUGGAGAAACUCGAUUGAUUUCUAGCAAACUUGGUUUACCACUACAUCGUCGCUUAUUAUUAUUUGGUGGACCGGCAGUGCUGAGUGAAUGCGGUGUUGUUGUUUUUUGCGCUGAAAACGGGGAAUGGGCCUAACCUAGGAUGUCCCCAGGGGCAUUUGACGGGGAUCUGGUCAUUUUGUAACCUUACCAUUUCGUAACUGCUGAAUCUUGGUUAUUUCGUAACCAUUUUGUUAGUCAAUUCGUAACCGUCAAGAAAUCAAUUGCUCAUAUGGUAACCACCAUUUAACAAGGUGAUAAAUAGUACACUUAGCACCUCGUGAAGUGUAUUGUUCGAACCUGGAUGUAUAUGGCACAGCAACCAAGACACCAAUUGGGAGACAUUACUCAAAUUCUCACUAGUAACAAGCCAAUAAUUUAUGUUACUCAAUAGUUAUUAUAUAUAUAUAUCAUGCUAAAUUAGAAAUGAUUUGUUAUACUACCAAAAUAUGUUAAUUAUUUUCUUACAUUUUGCUUACUUAUAAACAAUAAUUUAAGACUGAUUGCGAUGUAUUUUUGAGUAAAAUUACGUUUACAUAAAUGAUCAUUCUUGACCUAUUUCAUUGACUAUAUUUGUUUGAAUUGUUUAAAACGAACAAAAUUGAUCCAUAUUCUGCAUACUUUAUAUCCGAAACCAACAAAAAACAGCCUAAAAUGAUUAGUUAUGGUACAGUGGAAACUCAAUAAACUGGAUCUCCACAAAACCGGAAUGCUCGGGAUACUGGAUUUUAUCAGAGUCCCGGUUUUCCCCUUCUAUUAUCAAUGUAAAAAAAUCCCUACAAAACCGGAACCCCGGAAUUCCGGAUACCGGACAAAAAAUCGAGAAAAUUUGUUAGUUGUCAACGUAAUUUUGCCUUACAAAACCGGACGUUUUGUUCAAACAUGUCAAAAUAAUUAUGUGUAUUAGGAAUUCGCGAAUCACGUGUCACUUUGUUUUGACAGCCGGUACGUCUUUAAAUAUUACACCUGUGAUGUUAUGUUAACAUGAUAAUCGAUAAUGAUGAUUGCGCUGUGGAUUGACUGUCGUGCGAUAAUCAAACGAUAAUCAAACUUGUAAAAAGAAAAUUGAUUAAAACAUUUAUUUGUUUGUUGCAGAAAAUAAAGAACUAGAAACGGUUUUUUAGUGAUCAUUUUGAAGGGUUGUUUUAUCUAAAGACUCUAUGAUUGAAUCAAAUUAGAGCGGUGCUUUAAUUAAACUAUCAAACAUACUUAACAAGCAUUAAAUUACGAGAGUUGUUUUAUUUCAAGACUUGGAAAAAAGAUGGUUAUAAAAACGCAGAAAUGUUUAAUUAUGCUUAUCACUUUUGCAAGUGCUUUAAUCAUGUCUCAACCUCCGUCUAAAGGUCGGAGAAUUGAACUGUCCCUAGAGGACAAAAGCCUUUAAAGGUUAACUCAGUUAAUAUAUUGAGUAAACUUACUCCGUACAUCAAAUCCCCAUUAAACCGGAAUCCUCACUAAACCGGAAAUUUUGCCCAGUCCGGACCUUGUCCGGUUUAGUGAGUUUCCAAUGUAUUAAUUUCCAAUAACAAGUUACAAAAUUAAACAUAUGGGCACAUUUUUAAUACAAUAAGCAUAUAAAAAGCGCAUACUCUCAUUCAGCAAACUCACUACAUUUUACAAUACUUCUAUGCAAUUUAAAAAAAAUGAAAUUCUAAAGUUAUAUGGUCUAUAUAUUUAAAAAAUAUUGGCUUAAGGUCACAAUUCCUCUCAAUGGUAGAACAUCUAUGAAUUAAAAAAUUAUUACAUUUAAUAUUCUGAAAACAAAUCUUGGAUUUAAACUAAUCACCAACAAAAAUAUAUGCAUUUUAAUCACACAAUGUAAACAACUGUGCCACAGAUCUUAUCUGUAUGUUUAGGGUUUUUAAAAUUUAGCAGUUAAAUAUAGAUUAGCAUACUGGUAGGUCUGGUUGGUCUGUUGCUUUAGAUGCUAAGUAAACAUAAUGUCAGUGAUUUCAUCACUAUUUCUAUUAAAAUAUCAGUUUUCUUCUUCAGAGCUUCUCACAUUUGCACCAAUUUUUUACCAUUUGAAUCAUAAAAAGAUAACAAACAAACACGGAUGGAACAUUUGAAAAUACAAUUCAGUUGGUUUCUAUUUUCAUGCUCAUUUUUGCUUGAAAUUAUUCUGCUUGAAUGUGAUUUUUGUUGCUUAAAUUUGAACUUAACUCUUUGUGAAUAUUUAAGGAAUGUAAGGGGUCAGAUUUCAGAUUGCUCAUUAUUUUUGGAACAUUUUGAAUUGUGUACACUGCACUUUCUUGUUAAGCAUUCAUCCAAAUCAUUUGGGUAAAUAUUGGCAGAAAAACUGCUUUUAGUUUUAUACUGGUCAUCAAAACCGGCAUUGACAAAACAUAAGAUGUGUUUAAUUAAUGUGCGGGAAAGAGGUUUAAAGGUGUCCGCCCACAACGAAAAUUAAUGCUUGCGGAUCACAGUACCCCUUCAAGUAGUUCUUGAAAAAAAAUGAUUCUCUCAGGUAGCGUUUGAUUAUGUGUACAUUGUAUCCUUGUAUGUAUUUUCAAGUGUACACAUGAUUUAUAUAAGGUUUGUACAAUUUUAGUUUUAUUUAAAUUUUAAAAUUUUGACUUUUUUUAAAGAUUUGCCUGCCCCUGUCUAAACACUUAAAUACAGGCUGCAUGUUUAAUUUUACUCAAUACAAAGCUUUGUUUAAGUGCGAACAUCAACAUGUUUAUCUAAUUGCAGUUGCUGCUUGGACCAAUGGUACAAUAAAGUUAAGUCAGCAACCGUCUACCAGACUGCAAGAUUCAUCUCUUCCAAAGGAUGUCGUACCUUUCCAGAUACACUGUGUUUUGUGUGGAUAAAAAAUGCAGAGUGGUACCACCAAUCACCUAAGCCACCAUUCCCCUAACAGACAAGAGGCUCAUGGGGACAGUUCCUGCAAUUUACAGAAAAGCUCUCAAUUGUUGCCCUACGAACUUCAGAUACUGCUGAUGGUGAAGCUUGGGUGCACCAGGCCGGUUUUCCAGCCUUGUGGAAUCAACCAGCUGAACUGGGGCCCGGAAUUAUAUAAGACUCCUUAGCAGCAUGAGUGCCAGCCAGUCAUUGCUGUUCUUGCAUUGCUGAGGAGGACAGUCCUGCCAACAUAACAGUUUGUUCAAUAACAGGAGACAAACAGAAACACAGAGGUGCUAUACAUUCUGAUGGAAAAACAAAAGCAUCUCCCAUCAUUUUGGCGUGGCUCAGAUCAAGAGGAGAAUUUUAAGAAAGGUGAUGGUUGGGCACACACAAGAAGACAUAGAUCACAGGUAUCUAGCCAUAUGAGUAGAUAGGAGUGUCACACUCUGCCAAACUUACUUCAUCAGACGAGCAGAAAGCUUCUCAAGAUCCCGCACUGCACACUAAGACAUAGUCUUUGACUACAACAAGGUGAUGAAAGUAGAGAGAGGUCCAAUUGAAAUCAAUUCUGUGCUGCGUCAUUUCUUCAUUCUGGAAGUCGAUGGACAUGAUUUAUCAUGGCAUCAAGUGUGCAGUUUGCCGACUAUCAGCAGUCUUGUUCACCAGCUGUGCAACUUGAGCUGGUAGCUUUAUUGCUUGAAGCCACUGCAUAAGAGGGGGGAGGUGCAGGCUCAUCAAAAAGUCUCAAAAGUUGAAACUAGGAAAAGAAGUUUAUCAAGAGAGUGAAUCUAUUUUGAAAACAAUUGUUACAAUGAUUUGGUUUCCUUUGAAACUUGAUACAUACUAUGAAUUGAGAUGCUUAAAUAAAAAAACGCUAUUCAAAUAUCAGGAAACUGCCUUUUUCAUACUAAAGGGUAAAUGAUGUCGCCAUUUCCUGUAUGUAUUUAAAUAAGAUAUGUCUCCACAAUUAAUAUUUUUAGGGAAUUUUUCUCAACCUAAUGAAUGAGAUUAAAUUGUACAGCGUUAUAUGAGCUCAAUAUGUGUUUUCUCAUUCUUUAAAAUUGGUGAAAAAUUGUCAGAAGAUAAUUAGACCAGUAUCCAUUACUGCAAUCAUACAAUCAAAUAUACAGGGACAAGCCCACUGGGCAUAUAAUAUAAUUAAACCCUGUUUAGGGGCACGAGGCAAACAGAGUUACUUUCAAACGUUAAAGCUGCACUCUCACACUUUGGAUGUUUUGACAACCUUUUUCAUUUUAUGUCUUGGAUUGGAACCAUCCAAUUUUUGCGAAAAAUUAAAUCCCAGAUUUUUCUAUUUAAGUUAAAACAUUGAUGUUUUUUAUGCACUUUUCUUAAACUGUUAGUAACAUUAAUUUUCGAACGGAAAUAUGAAAUCUGCGAUCUGAUCUUUAGUCAGCAAUCUUUUAUCAUUGGUUUGCAGAUAAUUACGCAAAAACUUGCUCAUUCGAAGACAAAAAAAGUUGUGGAAACGGUAUAUCUGUGAGAGUGCAGCUCUAAAUGUUUAAUUGCUUGAUUUUACUACUGUAUUAGAAAUUACAGGGAUUGGGGUAUAUUUUUAGUGUUUUUAUUGCUUGUUUUUGAUUCAUACAGUCAUACUUUAUUAUUCAGGGCACAACUUACAAAUAAACAAAACUGGAAAAUGGUCAUAUCAAAAGGUCAAAGAUAACGCAAGUUGAACAAACAUAUUGUUCAUGGCUUGUAUUUUUGGUAUAUUUUGUUGCAUAUGCUAUAGAAAAGUUGAAAGUUAAAAAUAAAUUCAUAGUUGAAAUGAUGGCUUUGAAUGGUAUUGUCAGAUGAGAAACGGCUCUAUUAAGAAAUAGGUAUAAUGGUACUUUAUUUAUUUUAAUCAAUUUUAGAUAUUAUGAAAAUUAUUAUCUUAUUUAGUACAUGAGACCUUUUAAACAGUUAUUGACAAUAUAACAAUGUGUAUAUGAAGCUUUAGAUCAACACUUAAAGCUGCACUCUUACAGAUUGUCAGUUUAGACACAAAAUUGUCUCAAAAUCGGCUGAUUUGGUUAUCAUUCCUGUAAUUCAGUCAUAUUAGAUAAUCAAAAAUGUUUGGUAAAACUGCCGAAAAGUUAAUUUACAUUAAAUUGUUCGUAAUGCUUUUAGUCAUUGUUCGUAAUGCUUUUAGUCAUAAAACAUCAUUUUUUUUAACAUAAAUAUGAUGAACUGCAAUCUAAUCUUUUUUCAGCAGUCUUAUAUCACUUAAAAUUGGGUCUAGACAUUUCUGCAAAAAAUACUCCAUUUAUAGAUAAACAAUAAAAGAGUACCGGUAGUCAAAACGAGCAAUCGGUGAGAUUGCAGCUUUAAAUACACCUUUUAAGACCGCUGUAAAAUUCCAAUGGUUUUGCCUAAAUCUUUAAAGCUAGCAUACUGUUUAAUUGACAACCAUACUUAUUGUUUAAAAGUGUAAUGAUAUCUUUGUACAAUGUUUUUAUA